GAAAUCUAAGAUAUGCUUGCUUUGUUGGAUGCACGUUACUUGUCUAUGCAUUUAUGUUUGAGUUGGUAAUGGAGACUAAGGAUAAAUAGGAAUGGGAUGGGAUUUGAUAAAUGGAUAAGAUGACAGCCUCACUAGAUAUCCUGGGAGAUGGUGGAUGGACUGGGUUCAUAGAGAACUCUACCGUGAACGUUGUCUCAUACUGGACGGGGAAUGAAGAUUUAGUCAUUUGGCGCCCAUACCGAACGGGGUAUGGGGACGACCCGCUUCACCCUCAUACCGAACGGGGUAUUGAGGUUUAUUAU
RNAcentral lists this long non-coding RNA (302 nucleotides) under Carica papaya (papaya). Its description in RNAcentral is "long non-coding RNA (CPAP_LNC000439)". Lineage: Eukaryota; Viridiplantae; Streptophyta; Magnoliopsida; Brassicales; Caricaceae. The record is from RNAcentral.